AUAUAGGAACUUUUCUUCUGGAACAAUGAAUUCCUCUCUCCAUUUAUACCCUUUUUCGUGAUGCCUGCUUGUGCGGUAAAUGUUUAGAUUUGGCGUCCAUUUUGUGGUAGAAAUAGAAAUGUCCUAAAAGGAAGCCUUGUGGGGCAGGCUGGCGGCUGCAGCUCCCGUUGGACCCCUAGCCUGGGAACUUCCGGAUGCCCACAGGUGCGACCCUAAAAAGCAAAAUAAAAUAAAAGGAAGCCUUGAUUAAGAAAAUUUAGUGACUUAUUUUGUCCAUUCCAGCCCCAUGUGAUUUCCUUCUUCCACCCUCAUCCAAUUUGUCUUCUUUGCCCCAAUUAUUUGCCAUUUAUUAAACAUCCAGCAGCUCAUCUGUGUAUGUGUGUGCCUUGUCUCCCUAUGUAAGAAGAGCUAUCACUUAUAAAGCACUUGCUAUUUGCCAGACACUGUGCUAGGGAAUUAUCUAAUUCUUUCAACAAUCCUCAAAAAUUACAGAUGAGGAAACUGAAUUUAAGUGCUUAAGUAGGUGCCUGAGUUAAAACCACAGUUGUUGAUGGAUCCAGAAUUUGAACCUGGGUCUGUCUCAUCAAAGUCAGUGUUCUUUCUACUCUGUUCUGUCUUUCAAAAAGCUGCUUGCGGAGUUCCCGUCGUGGCUCAGUGGUUAACGAAUCCGACUAGGAACCAAGAGGCUGCGGGUUCGGCCCCUGCCCUUGCUCAGUGGGUUAACGAUCCGGCGUUGCCGUGAGCUGUGGUGUAGGUUGCAGACACGGCUUGGAUCCCGAGUUGCCGUGGCUCUAGUGUAGGCCAGUGGCUACAGCUCCGAUUCGACCCCUAGCCUGGGAACCUCCAUAUGCCGCAGGAGCGGCCCUAGAAAAGGCAAAAAGACACACACACACACACACACACACACACACACAAAGCUGCUUGCUUUGUCAAAUCCUAUCAGUCUAAAAAUUUCCCCAGAAGCUUUUCUGUUUAAUAUGUUUAUUUGAGCUCCAACCCCAGCACAAACACACACAGAGUUGUGAACAUAAUAGGUGUUCAGUAAAUAUGUUGAAUAAAUGGAAGAAAAAAAGGGCACACUGCAGGAGUUCCUGUCAUGGCACAGUGGUAACAAACCUGACUAGUAUCCUUGAGGGUGCAGGUUCGAUUCCUGGCUUUGCUCAGUGGGGUAAGGAUCUGGUGUUGCUGUGAGCCAUGUGGUAGUUUGCGAACGUGGUUCGGAUCUGGCAUGGCUGUGGCUGUGGCGCAGGCUAGGGGUCCAAUCGGAGCUGUAGCCGCCGGCCUACACCAGAACCCCCGCAACAUGGGAUCUGAGCCGUGUCUGUGACCUGCACCACAGCUCACGGCAACGCCGGAUCAUUAACCCACUGAGCAAGGGCAGGGAUCGAACCCGCAACCUCAUGGUUCCUAGUUAGAUUCGUUAACCACUGCGCCACAACGGGAACCCCUAGUCCUCUCUAUUUCUUUCCCAGCAUUCAUAGGUCUGAACAUCAGUUACCCCAUCCUUUGCAGCCUCUAUAGAUAGCCUGGCUAGCCUGGUCCUAACCAGAGGCAGGGAUCCCUAGACCUUUUCAUAUUCUAUGUUAAAGAGUUUUCUCUGGGCUUAUUGAAGUAUAUUUUAGGAGAAGUUGAUCAGUUCUUUGGUGUUAUUACCAUUCAGGUAUAUCUCAAAGACUAUAAAAUUGAGAUUGAACAAGCCAUUAUUUCUUAUCAUGGAGAUGAGAGCACGCAUACUUAAAUGAGGGUAAUAAUGGAAUUGCGGGAUCUUCUUUACUGGGUACUGUUUUUCUUGGCCAUGCCUGACAUGCAGAGUUUCCUGGCCAGGGAUUGAACCCAUGCCACAGCUGUAACCACAGCCACAGCAGUGACAAUGCCAGAUCCUUAAUCUCCUGAGCCACAAGGAAACUCCACUGAGUACUGUUUUGAAAAGUAGGUAGUCAUGAUCAAUCUACGAAGAUUGCGUUAAACUUAGCACUUGCAUUGGGCAAGUUUAAACUGACAGCUGUAACAAGCAGUCUCCAGCUUCCAGAAGCUUUAGAUAAUGAAAGUUUAUUGCUGACUCAUAUAAGAAUAUAGUGCAAGUAUUCUUGGUUAGCCAGCAAUCCCCCACAUAGUACUUCUGAGACCCAAGUUCUUUCCUUAUUACAGUGCCACCUCUUCUAGAUCUUCAGAGUCCCUUCCAUUAAGUUGCAAGAUAAAAAGAGGGAGAUUGGAAGAGCAGAAAGUUUUCAUAGAACAAGCUUAGAUACGUGUCAUUUCCCAUCCUCAUUUUUUUGGCCAGAAUUCAGUCAUAUGGCCCCCACCUAACUGCAAAGAAGGCUAGGAAAACCAGUCUAGCUGAGUGCCCAAUAAGAAAGGGAACCGGGAUAUAGUGAACACACAGCAGUCUCUGCCACAGCUGUACAUAUGCACUUCCCAUCUAGCAUCAUGGUUUUAGCAGCACUCUGUAAAAAAAAAAAAAAAAAAAAGGUUGCUCUUGUUACUUUGGGUAUAUCUGAUACAGUCUAAUUAUCUGAGACUAUGUGGAGCAAAGCAAAGUGUUAAUUGUGGGCUGUGAUAUCUAAGAUAUGACCUCAGUCCCUAAGAAUUCUGUACUAAAAUAGAGUUCUCAGCCAAUUCUAAAAUGGAGACAAGAAGGUAUGGUCUUUUGUUGCAUAAAUCUCGUUAUAUGUCUGCCCUAACUUUAAGCCACUUAAGACUGACCUAAUAAUAUGUCUUUGUGUUUGUGGUUUUCAGUCUGUGCCUGGCAUAUAGUAGGUAUUAUAGAAGUAAUUUUUCAAGGAAACGAAAUAAAGAACCAUGUUGAAGGAGUGCAGAGAAGGAAAAAUUACUUACGACCGGGCAUUGUUAUAAGUUGUUCACUGUACAGUUCUAGGAGGUGCAGUUCACAUUGUUGUCAUUGUGAGUGGCUCUCCUUACAGCUGUGUAAUGACAUGCACAGCUGUAUGUGGCAGCCCUGGACAGAAGAGCCCAGGAAGUGCAUCCCGGAGAACAUGAAAAAUUGAACUGGGCUUUGAGAUAGAUAUACAAAGGAUUUCUAUACAUGAAGAAGGAGAGCAGGGACAUUCCACACUGAGAAAAAGAGCCCAUUCAGAAGCAAGG
Molecule: long non-coding RNA, 3102 nt
Filed under: Sus scrofa (pig)
Lineage: Eukaryota; Metazoa; Chordata; Mammalia; Artiodactyla; Suidae
Description: lncRNA (ENSSSCG00005041979.1)
Source: RNAcentral